GGGCAAUAUUUAUGUAAAUAUAUAUUCCAGUUUGGUAAGAUUCUUUAAUAUGUCAUUCAAUUUGAUAUAAACUAUCUGUUGCUUAAGUAUUCAUUUUGGGGGUAUAGUUCUCCUUUAAGGUCUGUAUGAGUCGGUGCUAAAAAGCUCGGGGGGAGACAAGAAUGCAGCAUGAAAGGAAUCUAAGUGUAGUAGGUUGUUGUGGUUCCACACCUUCCCAAAACUCGCUAUAGGGUGUCAGAUUUCUCCUUACAUUCACCACGUGUAAGUUUAAAGUUGGGUACUUACAAACGUUUAUAGUUCAAAUCACAUUCAACAGAAAAGCCAGGAUGGGAUACCAAUAUUUACUCCAUGAUUUGAGAAGUUUUAAAAAAGCACAUCAAAUCCCCUUUUUCCCUUUAAUGUCCGUGUUACUGCACAAGUUUGUCUUAUAGUUUUGCCUCCGACCCGCGUUGCUUCCACCCGCUGUAACACUCCUGGGAUGCUUGGAGAUGACGUCGGGGUCACCAUCUUGGAAAGUGUUUGUGACACUCACAUGCUCAGUGGGCUCUGAUUGGCUGUUGAGAAGCUAAGCUUAGGGCUCGUCACUAAUUAUCCAGCAGAAAAUGAGCUUCCCUGGCUGUAAUAUAAGCUGAUGCUACAGGGGUAGAGAGACGAGAUUUCUGUUUAGAAUUAAUAGAGCUAUACAUUUUGAUGUCUCAGACAGAAUCCACUGCCCAAGUCCGUUGUGUCCCUGUAACCCAGUUCUUUGGACCCACAUAUCCGUUAGGCUGGGCUGGACUGGUCUGUUCUGAAACCAGCCAAUCACAGCUCUUCAAGUGUGACCAGGCUAGCUAGAAGAAUAUCGAGAGACGGCCGUUAAUAAUUAUUACAAAGCAUUUUCCUGAAGCCGCUCAGGCCUGUGAGAAGAAGCUUUUGCCAGUACCUUAUGCCAGUUCUGAGUCGCCUCGUUGAUCUUCCGUACAGAGCCCGGCUGGAGCUUGUUGAUGAGCCUAUUGAAAUGAGGAAGAGACACACUAUAUCAACAGUAUCACCCCAGAAUGAAAACAAUGAGGGUAACCUGGAGUCUUCCAUAUGCUGUCUAAUGUCAACUCCCAAAAGCCUCUCUAACAGUCUUCUUCUGACACUGGCACCCUAUAUUACCUAUAUGUUCCCAGUGCAAUCUUCAUGGAGGCAUGCAGAACUUAAUCGGACUUGUUGGUAACGCUAUUCAAUCGGUAACUGAAUUGGCACAUGAAUAUUAGUUGGUCGAAUGGGGAAGAUUUGGGGGGUGUAACCAAAGUGGUCAACGUUCUGCCUGUUUAGUUUUCGAGUCCAUAUUUAUGUAGCUUAGUACAUGAAUUACAUGACUGGUGAAACAUCUCUUAAAGAAAAACACAGCAAGUCCAGUUGAUUUGACUUAAUUCUACCGAUAUACAAAGGCAACCGUUGGAAUGUCACACCGUACCGCCUGGCUUUGCCCAUUAUGGAGAAAGAAUUUGGGAGAUAAGAAAAGGAAAACACUCCGAGGCACAUUUACCAACGGUCGGCUUUGAAAUCCAUGUGAGUUUUUUAAAACUCCCCUAAUCUCCCAUAAAUUAGACAAAUCAAAUUUUAUCAAUAAAAUCAGAAAUUUCUAAUUCACAAUUUAAACGACCCGAAAUUUCGAAAUCAAAUUAAUUCAUUCUUCGACUAAAAUUUUUACUUAAACAGCAAUUCGGCAGGUUUUAGGUGGUGAAUAGUAGAAUUCGAAUUUAAACAGGGCCAAAGUAUGAAAAAUCUCAAAAAUUAAAAAAUCAAAUCAAAUCUGGAUAACUCCCUAGAUGAUUUUGACAGUUUUGACCAUGAAAAAAAUUCUAAUUUUCAGUUUGACCCUUAAUAAAUCUGCCCCUCUAUGUUUACAUGGAUUAAUCCGGCCAUUAAAGUGCAUUAUGAAUCAUGACGAGGGAGGGUGCAUGGAAGCUUUGUGUCUUUGGCAUAGGUAAAACUCUGAUUAUUAUGUUUAGGAACAAUCCCUCCCUACUUCUUGCCAUGGAUCCCAGCGACUUCUACCUUAUACACAGGAGAAUAAGGCCAUAUUAUGUCCAUACUAAGGGGGUUAUUUAUUGAAUGAGUUUUUGGCACCUUGAAUGAACUCACAACUCGAAUGGAAAAAACUCAAUUCUGCGAAUUUGUGAAACCCAAAAACUCGAAUGAGUUUUACGUGGGAAAAAACUAAAUCAAAAAGCUUGGGAAAAAAUUAAUCGGGGGGAAAAAUCGUUUGAGUUUUGGGCAAAACCCUCUGAAAAAAAAAACUUGACCAUCAUACAGGCUAUAAACAUCUUCAAAUUGUUCAAGGGACCUCUGCCAUUGACUCGUACAUGACCUUGACAGGUUUUAG
This is a long non-coding RNA of Xenopus laevis (African clawed frog), 2356 nucleotides long. RefSeq lists it as uncharacterized. The record is from RefSeq and is a predicted model, not a curated record. The transcript has 4 exons. NCBI's taxonomy places the organism in Eukaryota, Metazoa, Chordata, Amphibia, Anura, Pipidae.